Long non-coding RNA from Juglans microcarpa x Juglans regia, 1309 nucleotides. RefSeq lists it as uncharacterized. The transcript has 3 exons. The record is from RefSeq and is a predicted model, not a curated record. Lineage: Eukaryota; Viridiplantae; Streptophyta; Magnoliopsida; Fagales; Juglandaceae.
GUGGGAAGAGGUUUUACAGAACAAGAAACUGAACAAGUAUAACCAUAAUAUCAUCGAUGAACAAUUUCACAUUCUACCAGGCUGAUGGAUUGAAAAGAUUUAAUGCCUCGGAUCCAAACAAGCUUCUCCCUAGCAAUGUACCCGAAGGCUCUUUUAUCAUCAGAGAGCACACUCCUAUGUCAAAUUUGUUCUCAUGACUUCGGUUCAAUGAAAUUGAUUGGUUCACUCCUCGUGAUCAACUAAGUUUUUGCAUAUACAUAUCAAAAGAUGAGAAGGGUGAAUCCUGGCAAACAGUUUCGCCUUAAUAUGUUCAAGGACUGUGAGAGGAGAGCCAUAGCUAAGCUAUUUCGUCAUAGGUCAGAAGAAAAGCAGAAUAUUCACCAAAGUGCAACUGAGUGAAAUGUGUCUUUGACCUUUCCAGUAGGAAGUUGGCUUCUCCAUUUUGUGCUUGGUCACACCCUUCUUGAAUUCCUUGUGAAGGUAUGCCUUAUAAUGUUCUACAUGGUGCAGGCAUGUAUUUUUGUGGAAAUAUACAUGAAAUUCACAGUUCCAGUGUGAGGGAAGGCUAUAGUGGAUGCAGAAUUUUAUUGGAAGUCAUCAACUAUCGUGAGGUCAGUAUUCUUCAAUCUGCAGAAUCAGACAGUCCGAAUCUAUUCUAGCAUUGACAUGUGUAUGCAUUUUUUUCCCAUUCAUUGCUUUGUUAGGAUGCAAGCAAAGCACCUGGGGUGCCUCUGCAUCCACUGCAACAAGUGCUCUAUGUAUGUUCCCUUCCCACUCACUUAUCAAGUUUUUAGUUGCCUGCUAACUAACUUUAAUUGGUCAUUUAGGCUCGUAUGAUAUGUGGCCAAUUGGAUUGGUGAUUUUGCAAUUCUGAUUUUGUUAAGCCAGACAAUGAUUUGUUGUACCCUUCUUCUGGGUGAAAAGCGAAGUUUGGUUUGGUUGCUCUAUUUUUAAGAGGAUGAAGGUUGAGCCUAUAGAGACAAGUUUUUUUUUUUUUUUUUUUUUUUAACACCUUGUAUUAAUCUUCCUCAGCUGGACUUAGGCAAAAUAGUAGAGAAGUAUACAAAUAUACAAGUAUCAGUAGAAUAGCAAAAAUGCAUUCUUCUUUAUUAAUAAGUUUGCUCACGGUAAUUGUGGUCUCUUGGGAGAAACCAAUGACUGCAUCAAAGAUGUACUUGCUAGUAACAAUACAUUUGAGAAUUCUUUUUUCCCUAGUUGUAAUGUAUUUUCAUUAUUUUUGGCAAUUCACUCGACGUAUUAAGGAUUGCAUAAUCUUUGUCUUGUCUUGUAUAAGUUUUCGAGGCACAAU